AGUAGUCAUAUGCUGUCUCAAAGAUUAAGCCAUGCAUGUCUCAGUACAAGCCAAAUUAAGGUGAAACCGCGAAAGGCUCAUUAAAUCAGUUAUGGUUCCUUAGAUCGUACCCACAUUUACUUGGAUAACUGUGGUAAUUCUAGAGCUAAUACAUGCAAACAGAGCUCCGACCGGAGACGGAAGGAGCGCUUUUAUUAGAUCAAAACCAAUCGGCGGCGGGUUCGCCCGUUCGUCGUACAACUUGGUGAAUCUGAAUAACUUUCUGCUGAUCGCAUGGUCUCGCACCGGCGACGCAUCUUUCAAAUGUCUGCCUUAUCAACUGUCGAUGGUAGGUUCUGCGCCUACCAUGGUUGUAACGGGUAACGGGGAAUCAGGGUUCGAUUCCGGAGAGGGAGCCUGAGAAACGGCUACCACAUCCAAGGAAGGCAGCAGGCGCGCAAAUUACCCACUCCCGGCACGGGGAGGUAGUGACGAAAAAUAACGAUACGGGACUCAUCCGAGGCCCCGUAAUCGGAAUGAGUACACUCUAAACCCUUUAACGAGGAUCAAUUGGAGGGCAAGUCUGGUGCCAGCAGCCGCGGUAAUUCCAGCUCCAAUAGC
This 600-nucleotide ribosomal RNA is filed under the name Macrelmis sp. 13 JCA-2012. Its description in RNAcentral is "SSU rRNA". It matches the Rfam family "Eukaryotic small subunit ribosomal RNA", at positions 19 to 598 of the family's 1831-position model. Lineage: Eukaryota; Metazoa; Arthropoda; Insecta; Coleoptera; Elmidae. The record is from RNAcentral.